GGAGGCGCAUAGCUCAGUGGUAGAGCAUCUGCUUUGAAUGUAGAAGGUCCCAGGUUCAAUCCCUGGUAUCUCCA
Molecule: non-coding RNA, 74 nt
Organism: Podarcis muralis (Common wall lizard)
Lineage: Eukaryota; Metazoa; Chordata; Lepidosauria; Squamata; Lacertidae
Source: the annotation of a RefSeq genome assembly